GAUGAACGCUGGCGGCGUGCCUAAUACAUGCAAGUCGAGCGAACAGACGAGGAGCUUGCUCCUCUGACGUUAGCGGCGGACGGGUGAGUAACACGUGGAUAACCUACCUAUAAGACUGGGAUAACUUCGGGAAACCGGAGCUAAUACCGGAUAAUAUAUUGAACCGCAUGGUUCAAUAGUGAAAGACGGUUUUGCUGUCACUUAUAGAUGGAUCCGCGCCGCAUUAGCUAGUUGGUAAGGUAACGGCUUACCAAGGCGACGAUGCGUAGCCGACCUGAGAGGGUGAUCGGCCACACAGGAACUGAGACACGGUCCAGACUCCUACGGGAGGCAGCAGUAGGGAAUCUUCCGCAAUGGGCGAAAGCCUGACGGAGCAACGCCGCGUGAGUGAUGAAGGUCUUCGAAUCGUAAAACUCUGUUAUUAGGGAAGAACAAAUGUGUAAGUAACUAUGCACGUCUUGACGGUACCUAAUCAGAAAGCCACGGCUAACUACGUG
RNAcentral lists this ribosomal RNA (497 nucleotides) under uncultured bacterium. RNAcentral describes it as "partial 16S ribosomal RNA". It matches the Rfam family "Bacterial small subunit ribosomal RNA", at positions 28 to 507 of the family's 1533-position model. The record is from RNAcentral.